This is a long non-coding RNA of Rattus norvegicus (Norway rat), 941 nucleotides long. RefSeq lists it as uncharacterized. The record is from RefSeq and is a predicted model, not a curated record. Lineage: Eukaryota; Metazoa; Chordata; Mammalia; Rodentia; Muridae.
UCAGCCCACCCUCUUUGGAUGAUGGCCCUGGGGCGUGGGCAGGAGCAAGGGUCAUGGGUGAAGUUCAGGCAGGAAGGUCCUUGGCACCACUGCAGUGCACCUGUGACAAACCCUUCAGCACUCCCCAUGGGUAAAGGGGAGGGGCUCUCAGAUACUUUCCAGGCUCUCAUGUUCUCUCUCUGCUCAGCUCAAGCCCAGGCUGGGGGACAUUUAGGGGCAGCAUCUUCAGGAGACUCAGGUACCAGGAGUCUCAGGAAACAGCCUCAUCACCCACCAAAAGUCAACAGACUCUGUGAUAGCCCCUUCGAGGGGCCACCAGCUUCAUUUAGUCUUAGCUUGGCUCCCAACCUGAUGCCAGAGCCUGUGGCCUCUCCCUUUAGCACAUUUCACGGCCCUUUCCCAUUAGCACACUUCAAUGCUACUUUGUAUCCAGCCAAUGUUCUCCACCUAUAUCCGCGAAGAGUGUCCUCUGCUCUGGGUGUUUCAGCCCCGUCUCAUCCUUUUCCUCAUUUCAGCUGGACUCGUGGGCACACAUGACACUAAAAGCAAAUCUCAAAGAUGCAAACACGUGUCUUCAGAAAAGCCAGGAAGAAAGACAAGGCAGAAGUUUUCUUGGACCUGUUUGGUAGCUGAGGAAACAAGCCCCAGAGGCUGACGGGUCUGGCCGAGCUUACCUGGCAGACGAAGAAGAUGAGGUCCCGGACUAAGAUGGUUCAGUUUGCAAAGUGUUUGCCGUAAAGGUAUGAGGGCCUGAGUCUGUCUUCCCAAAGCCAGAGAGAUGUCUGCAAGAUGGCUUCGUGGAUAAAGGUUCUUGCACAAGUCAGGUGACCUGAGCUGGAUCUCCAGAAUCCACGCUCAGAUGGAAGGAGAAAACCUCCAACCUCCCAUACACACUCCUUACACACAACAAAGAAACAAAGAAGCAAAUGACUACACCUGAA